GGGGUUGUGGCUCAGUGGUAGAGCGCUUAUCUCCCAUGUAUGAGGCACUGGGUUAGAUCCUCAGCACCA
This 69-nucleotide transfer RNA is filed under the name Ictidomys tridecemlineatus (thirteen-lined ground squirrel). Its description in RNAcentral is "Spermophilus tridecemlineatus (thirteen-lined ground squirrel) tRNA". It matches the Rfam family "tRNA". Rfam says of the family: Transfer RNA (tRNA) molecules are approximately 80 nucleotides in length. Their secondary structure includes four short double-helical elements and three loops (D, anti-codon, and T loops). The record is from Rfam by way of RNAcentral. Lineage: Eukaryota; Metazoa; Chordata; Mammalia; Rodentia; Sciuridae.